GCCCAGCUGGGCAGAGGGAUCCUCCUCCUACCAUCACUGAAAGACCUUCCCCCCAUGUAAACUUUCUGCUGUCUACUAUCUGGCAUGCAGCUGUUGCAGAGUCAGCAUGCUACUACUGUUGCAUCCAGUUGCAGAAUGGUACCGAAGCUCUAGCCAAACCUCCUGGACAAGAUCUGGGAAAAAAUCAGCACUCAGAACAGCUUCCUAAAGUGUCAGAUGUGUUAUUUUGAAGCAUGUGAUGACUGCACUGAGAGUCAACAAUCUGCUUUAGCAAAUUAAGUAUUUCUUCUAGAUAUAACAAGUUCAGCAUUCUCCUCUCUCAGGAGGCUGGCUAACAGUGAAAUAUUUGAAAUCCAGAAAGUCACCUCAUUAGUCAAACUGUAAUCAAUAUAAUUGAGUGUGGAAGAGGCCAGGGUUGACAAUCAGAAUCAACCAGGUUAGAAAAGACCUUUAAGGUCAUUGAGUUCAACUUAAUGCCUUCUAAUUAACUAGUGCCACGGUUAAAGGGCCUCACCCAGACUCCUUUUAAACCCCUCCAGGGAUGGUGACUCCACCACCUCCCAGGGCAGCCCAU
Pogoniulus pusillus (Red-fronted tinkerbird) is the source of this 574-nucleotide long non-coding RNA. RefSeq lists it as uncharacterized. The record is from RefSeq and is a predicted model, not a curated record. The transcript is spliced from 3 exons. NCBI's taxonomy places the organism in Eukaryota, Metazoa, Chordata, Aves, Piciformes, Lybiidae.